Long non-coding RNA from Nycticebus coucang (slow loris), 1663 nucleotides. RefSeq lists it as uncharacterized. The record is from RefSeq and is a predicted model, not a curated record. The transcript is spliced from 3 exons. NCBI's taxonomy places the organism in Eukaryota, Metazoa, Chordata, Mammalia, Primates, Lorisidae.
ACUGCUGGAUUAGAAUGUCGUAUUUGAGAAUGACACUUCUUUAAUCAGAUUACGACCAGACACUUUUAAGGAAAUAAGGUUGGUCUCAUGAGAUCAAUGCUCACAGAGCUCCUCUGGUGAAAACUGGCCUGAUCCCUGGCUUUACCGGGUUCCCGGCUUUCUAGGUGAGCAAGGAAGGUCACUUGCCAGCAGGCUCAGGAAUCUUAUGGUAUUCGGGAGACCUCAAGAAGAGAGGAAUGCCUGCCAAAUCAGUAGGUACUGUGGGGAAAUCUGAUGGUGAGUUCUUGGCUUGGCAUCUUAUGCCCAAGAGGCUUUGAAAGGUCCAAGUUGAGAUUCUCUAUGAAAACUUCCAGCAAAGCGAAUGUGAGAAGAUCUAUGUGUCAAUUGCCAUUCUUGCUGCAACUGUGUGACUAACCGGGCCAGAUCUCGUGAGACCAACCUUAUUGUGUGAUCCAGAGUCAUCUUUCUUUGAGAUUGCCUUUGAUUAAAGGUGUUGGGCAGGGAGGGACUGUAGAAAGAACUUUGUGUUUCAGUGGAAAACUGUAGCACACACUUCUGGAUUACCAGACUCUUAACCUUAUCAUUUAUAUUUGAGCUAUUUGGCACCUGACCUCAUUGUAAAUUGCGGGUAACUAAUGAAUAUGCAAACUUUGUCCUGCCCGGUGGUGGAGCUUUCCCUGUCCUUGUGGAAAACCCAGACUGGUACCGCCUGUAAACUGGACUUGCAGAGACUGUUAAUCCUUGCCAGAUUUUCAAUUUUUUAGUUUCUUUUAGGACCUGGCUACAAACUAACAGCCUCCAAGCCACUUUUCAAUUUCUCCUCUACUUGUUGUCCUGGAAUCACUGACAACUGAAACCUGACUGCCAAGAUCCUUAUUGGGACUCCAGGUUGCCCUGCCCCUGCAGCUGGUCUUUGCUGCUGGGGAUUUUAAGAAUCACUGAAAACUCAAGUCUGAAGACUUGCUACAAUCCUGGAAGGACUUAGCACCUGAGCCGACCAUUCGUGGUCCAGCUCUUUUUCUGGACCAGCCACUCUUUAGACUAUUGAGACAGCCUGGUGAAAUGCUCAGGUCUCCAUGCACUUACGGGAGAAAUAUCCAACACUGUGGACAGCAUUACCAAGAAGAUCAACAUCUUAGCAUCAAAAACUCAGUGAGCGGCGAGAAUGAAUAUACAGACAGUGGCUAGGCCAUGUAUAAAAAUACAACUCCAAUCACAGCACUGUGACAAGCAGUCUAGGAACCCAACUGCAACCUCUUUAGCAUCAGUGAGGACUUGGUAACUGCCAGAUUCCAAAAUUUUUGCCUCUACUUCUAACUUGGAACCAACCACAGAAAGCCAAGCAUCUAUUCUUAACAAAUCACAUCCAAUGGCCUUCUCCUCCUUGGCUACCCUCGAGCUUCCCCGUGGCUGUAGCCUCCAAUUAGGUGUGCCUGAAGUCUCCCUUUUGUCCAUUAUGAGCCUUCCCAAUACUCAACCUGCAUCUGAGUCUCUGCCAAACAAAAGUGAUGUUUUCUUGGAAGUGCCAUCAAGAUAAGGUCUGCACUGACCAUCACCACAGACCCAACCCUCAGCCAGCUGCAACACUCCUUGUGCUUUGCUGCUUGUCAAGUCUAUAAUAACGUGGAUACUUCAUCUAUGGGAAGAGACCUCAGAAGAAAAC